GGCGGACGGGUGAGUAACACGUGGGCAACCUGCCUGUAAGACUGGGAUAACUCCGGGAAACCGGGGCUAAUACCGGAUAACUCUUUUCUCUGCAUAGGGAGAAGAUAAAAGAUGGCUUCGGCUAUCACUUACAGAUGGGCCCGCGGCGCAUUAGCUAGUUGGUGAGGUAAGGGCUCACCAAGGCGACGAUGCGUAGCCGACCUGAGAGGGUGAUCGGCCACACUGGGACUGAGACACGGCCCAGACUCCUACGGGAGGCAGCAGUAGGGAAUCUUCGGCAAUGGACGAAAGUCUGACCGAGCAACGCCGCGUGAGUGAGGAAGGCCUUCGGGUCGUAAAGCUCUGUUGUCAGGGAAGAACAAGUACCGUUCGAACAGGGCGGUACCUUGACGGUACCUGACCAGAAAGCCACGGCUAACUACGUGCCAGCAGCCGCGGUAAUACGUAGGUGGCAAGCGUUGCCCGGAAUUAUUGGGCGUAAAGCGCGCGCAGGCGGUCUCUUAAGUCUGAUGUGAAAGCCCACGGCUCAACCGUGGAGGGUCAUUGGAAACUGGGGGACUUGAGUACUGGAGAGGAGAGUGGAAUUCCACGUGUAGCGGUGAAAUGCGUAGAUAUGUGGAGGAACACCAGUGGCGAAGGCGGCU
This 644-nucleotide ribosomal RNA is filed under the name uncultured bacterium. RNAcentral describes it as "bacterial SSU rRNA". It matches the Rfam family "Bacterial small subunit ribosomal RNA", at positions 97 to 726 of the family's 1533-position model. The record is from RNAcentral.